GGGGGAUUUGCUUAAUGGUAGAGCACUGUUUUUACACAGCAGCGGCAAGGGUUCGAUUCCUUUAUCCCUUA
Molecule: non-coding RNA, 71 nt
Organism: Physocladia obscura
Lineage: Eukaryota; Fungi; Chytridiomycota; Chytridiomycetes; Chytridiales; Chytriomycetaceae
Source: the annotation of a GenBank genome assembly